UCGGCGGCCAUAGCGUGAGGGAAACGCCCGGUCACAUUCCGAACCCGGAAGCUAAGCCUCACAGCGCCGAUGGUACUGCAGGGGGGACCCUGUGGGAGAGUAGGACACCGCCGGAC
This 116-nucleotide ribosomal RNA is filed under the name Microbacterium sp. HSID17254. Lineage: Bacteria; Bacillati; Actinomycetota; Actinomycetes; Micrococcales; Microbacteriaceae. The record is from RNAcentral.